This 264-nucleotide ribosomal RNA is filed under the name Triticum aestivum (bread wheat). RNAcentral's name for it is "partial small subunit ribosomal RNA". Lineage: Eukaryota; Viridiplantae; Streptophyta; Magnoliopsida; Poales; Poaceae. The record is from RNAcentral.
AUGAAACUCAUAAGUUGGCACUGCCGCGGUAUGGCCAGUACGACAGCAGUGAGAUCGCUUCUGGAUCUUCAGAAGCAAUGGGGGCCGGAUGUGUUGUUUCUGUCUGAAACACAUCUGAACACAGGAAGGGCGGAAAAAUUAAUGAGGAAGUUGAAGAUGGAUCAUGUCGAGUUGGUGGAGAGCGUUGGGGCCAGUGGUGGCCUCUUACUCUCCUGGCACAACACGUGUGUGCUAGAGGUGAUGGGAAAGACAAAAAAAUAUUGA